This is a long non-coding RNA of Solenopsis invicta (red fire ant), 1328 nucleotides long. RefSeq lists it as uncharacterized. Lineage: Eukaryota; Metazoa; Arthropoda; Insecta; Hymenoptera; Formicidae. The transcript is spliced from 3 exons. The record is from RefSeq and is a predicted model, not a curated record.
UGAUAGUGUAGUAGCGAGCGCCACACUGUGUCGAAAAUGUAAAAGGGAGUGUCACGUCCGCGACGUUGCGAGUAUAAAUUUUUUCGACACCGGUAUAAAACAGACGGGCAAGCCGGCAUUCGCUAACAAAUCUAACUGUCAGGGCCCCGAUUCUCUAACUCACUCGUAACUUUGCGUAUACGCAACUUACGAGUGGUUGAAAUGCGUAUACGUUUACUAUUCGAUCACCGAUGCGUAUUCUGUAACACAAUUUACGGUCGUUCGUAUUUAGAUACGUGUACGUAUCUUUUGUACGAAUGCAAUACGCGGCAACACUGGAUUGGUGUACUAUCCAGUACUAUCUUUAUUAAAAACAUGGCGUAGUUGCCAGUAACACGUGCUUUAUUUUUCAACGCUUAUUUUGCGUAAUAAUUUUGUAUGUUGAUUAAAAAAAAAAAAACGAAAAUGGAUGCAAGAAAACGUGGUGCGAAUGUAACAGAAGAACAAAAAAUACUAUUAUUACAAUUUAUGGAAAAAAAUCCGCGUUUGAUGUCCGGUAAAUUUUUUGCUGAUUUUACAUUUAAAGAUGCAACUAUUUUGUGGCAAAAGCUUGCAGAUAUCUUAAAUAGUUGCAAUGGUGUAAGCAAGGAAAUCUUGGCGAAAGUGCUGGCAAGAUUUGCGAUCACGUAGUAAAUCAAAACAAAGCAAAAUAAAUGCAGAACGAAGGAAAACUGGUGGAGGAAAUGAAUCUAAUCUUAAAUUAAGUAAAACGGAAGAAGCAACAUUAAAUUUAAUUUCUCCUAUACGUAUCGAUGGACACACAGAAGUUAAAGAAAGCGAAGUACAAAUAGAAUCAGAUACUGAGAUAAAUUUUGAAACUGAUGAAGUGGAAUAUCUUGAUGAAGAUAUAGAAGAUUUGAAACAAAUUGGUAUAAACAGUGCAGUCUACUUUAAUAUGGGAAAUGCAGAAACCAAAGAUGAUAAGGAGAAUACAUUAAUCGACAAUGCUGCAGGCAAUUCAGAUGAAAACGGUAAUAGUAAUGAUAGUUCAACUACACCAAUAACAAAAAAAAGAAAAAGAAUGUCACUGUCUCAAAAACUUCAAGCAACACAACAGCCAACACAGGAUCUUGCAAAUAUAGCACAAAAAACAUAUGAUAUGCAAAAUACUUAUUACGAAAAUAAGUUGUUAUUAAGGAAACAAGAAUUAAAACUUAAAGAAAGAUUAGUUAGUACAGUUGAAAAGUGCAAUCCUUCAUAAUAUAAUGUCUUUUAUUGUAAACAUAUAUGUAUUAAUAACAUUAUGUAAUUUACGACAUAUAUAUAAAUAAAUUCUGUAUUAUUCCUAA